RNAcentral lists this ribosomal RNA (470 nucleotides) under uncultured Comamonas sp. Its description in RNAcentral is "bacterial SSU rRNA". It matches the Rfam family "Bacterial small subunit ribosomal RNA", at positions 335 to 798 of the family's 1533-position model. Lineage: Bacteria; Pseudomonadati; Pseudomonadota; Betaproteobacteria; Burkholderiales; Comamonadaceae. The record is from RNAcentral.
CACCUACGGGGGGCUGCAGUGGGGAAUUUUGGACAAUGGGCGCAAGCCUGAUCCAGCAAUGCCGCGUGCAGGAUGAAGGCCCUCGGGUUGUAAACUGCUUUUGUACGGAACGAAAAGCCUGAGGCUAAUAUCCUCGGGUCAUGACGGUACCGUAAGAAUAAGCACCGGCUAACUACGUGCCAGCAGCCGCGGUAAUACGUAGGGUGCAAGCGUUAAUCGGAAUUACUGGGCGUAAAGCGUGCGCAGGCGGUUUUGUAAGACAGUGGUGAAAUCCCCGGGCUCAACCUGGGAACUGCCAUUGUGACUGCAAGGCUAGAGUGCGGCAGAGGGGGAUGGAAUUCCGCGUGUAGCAGUGAAAUGCGUAGAUAUGCGGAGGAACACCGAUGGCGAAGGCAAUCCCCUGGGCCUGCACUGACGCUCAUGCACGAAAGCGUGGGGAGCAAACAGGAUUAGAUACCCCAGUAGUCUUU